RNAcentral lists this ribosomal RNA (246 nucleotides) under uncultured bacterium. RNAcentral's name for it is "partial 16S ribosomal RNA". It matches the Rfam family "Bacterial small subunit ribosomal RNA", at positions 523 to 769 of the family's 1533-position model. The record is from RNAcentral.
AUACGGGGGGUGCAAGCGUUGUUCGGAAUUAUUGGGCGUAAAGCGCGCGCAGGCGGGAAAGUAAGUCUACUCUAAAAGUGCGGGGCUCAACCCCGUGAUGGGGUGGAAACUGCUUUUCUUGAGUGCCGGAGAGGAAAGUGGAAUUCCCAGUGUAGCGGUGAAAUGCGUAGAUAUUGGGAGGAACACCAGUGGCGAAGGCGACUUUCUGGACGGCGUCUGACGCUGAGGCGCGAAAGCCAGGGGAGC